This 425-nucleotide ribosomal RNA is filed under the name uncultured bacterium. Its description in RNAcentral is "bacterial SSU rRNA". It matches the Rfam family "Bacterial small subunit ribosomal RNA", at positions 354 to 796 of the family's 1533-position model. The record is from RNAcentral.
GUGGGGAAUCUUAGACAAUGGGCGCAAGCCUGAUCUAGCCAUGCCGCGUGAGCGAUGAAGGCCUUAGGGUUGUAAAGCUCUUUCAGCUGGGAAGACAAUGACGGUACCAGCAGAAGAAGCCCCGGCUAACUCCGUGCCAGCAGCCGCGGUAAUACGGAGGGGGCUAGCGUUGUUCGGAAUUACUGGGCGUAAAGCGCACGUAGGCGGAUCAGAAAGUCAGAGGUGAAAUCCCAGGGCUCAACCUUGGAACUGCCUUUGAAACUCCUGAUCUUGAGGUCGAGAGAGGUGAGUGGAAUUCCGAGUGUAGAGGUGAAAUUCGUAGAUAUUCGGAGGAACACCAGUGGCGAAGGCGGCUCACUGGCUCGAUACUGACGCUGAGGUGCGAAAGCGUGGGGAGCAAACAGGAUUAGAAACCCGUGUAGUCC